RNAcentral lists this ribosomal RNA (426 nucleotides) under uncultured bacterium. RNAcentral describes it as "bacterial SSU rRNA". It matches the Rfam family "Bacterial small subunit ribosomal RNA", at positions 354 to 796 of the family's 1533-position model. The record is from RNAcentral.
GUGAGGAAUUUUCCGCAAUGGGCGAAAGCCUGACGGAGCAAUGCCGCGUGAAGGAUGAAGGCCUAUGGGUUGUAAACUUCUUUUCUCAGAAAAGAAUUAUGACGGUAUCUGAGGAAUAAGCAUCGGCUAACUCUGUGCCAGCAGCCGCGGUAAGACAGAGGAUGCAAGCGUUAUCCGGAAUGAUUGGGCGUAAAGCGUCUGUAGGUUGUUUAAAAAGUAUUCUGUCAAAGAUUAGGGCUUAACCCUAGAUAGGCAGAAUAAACUUUUAAGCUAGAGGUUGGUAGAGGCAGAGGGAAUUCCCGGUGGAGCGGUGAAAUGCGUAGAUAUCGGGAGGAACACCAAAGGCGAAGGCACUCUGCUGGGCCAAUACUAACACUGAGAGACGAAAGCGAGGGGAGCAAAUGGGAUUAGAUACCCGGGUAGUCC